UUAGGUUAGGAUAGGGUAAUUGUAGAAUGUUUUCUUCUGGAACUAUCCUACGCGGAAAAAAAUCUUGUAGUAAAUAUGACUAGCAACAAAUGUUCGAAUUGACUAUGGCCAUAUCUAUUGAACAUAACAACAACAUUAGUCAAAACAACCGAGUUAUUGUCAAAAAUACUAUGGUUUCUUCAAAAAACCUAUAGUAUUCUUGACUAUUUUAAGUAGUUAAAAAAAUAAUACUUUUGAUACCAUACCAUGUUUGCGAUAAAUAUGACCACGCUUUUUACAAACCUCAAGAACUUUUCUUCGUCGUUGCUCUGUUUUACCAUGUUUGUGGUUGAAAUAAGAGCACAGACAAACAGACCUAUUAGACAUCGUACACAAAUUACGUAACGCUAUAGGGGGAGGGGGGGAGUCUAGCUUAGCGUUACGAGACAUACAAAAUAUUUUUGGUUUUCAUACAAAAAGCGUUACAUGGGGGGAGGGGGGAGUCUGAAAUCGCUGAUUUUAGCGUUACGUAAUUUGUGUACCAUGCCUUACUUAGAAGCAAUUUGUUUCAAAAACAUCGUUUGACAUCUCACUAGCACCCUCUAUACUGCUCAAUCCGAAGCAUUUAUUUGCAGGUGUCGUUUCCCUCGGUUCGAAAUUGUUAUUAGCAGGUGACGACUCCCCCGUGGCGUUAUCCAUUCAUAAAACACGAAUGAAGGUUCAUGAUUGAGUCAUUUUAUGUAAACAUUGAUCGGCAUCGCGUUCAUUUCUCUCCGAAAUUGAGAGGUGAUGUAGGCACAUCAGCGCCACCAUGACACAUGCGAGCACAGUCCGAACCACAGUUUAUUUUCAAAAUGACCGUUAAAUCGUGCGAUGAUUGCGAUUUGAGUAGUAUGUCUGUUUGUCUGUUGUAAGAGUGUUGUACCAACAAUUUUCAGCUGACUACAUUUUUCGUUGAAAUUUACCAUAAACAUGGUAUUUUUUUUCUCAGCGCAACCCGAUGCUUGACAGCGCGCCAUUUGUAAAUAAACUCUCUUCAAAAUCAGACACCUGUGCCUCAUUUCAAGUUUUCAUUUAGUAAAAUCGUUCAUUUUAAAAUACUCACCAAAUUUUGAUUUUUUCAUCCAGCAAAACUCAUUGCUGGAACGUGAUCAGCAAACUGUAGUUUGCCGAAAAUUCAGUAAUAAUAGCUGAAGAGUCAGCAAAAUUAGAAAUUGCUGAACAUCAGCAAAAAAGUUGUCAACUUGGUUGUCAAACACUUAGCAUUUCCCACAGGCAUUUUUUUGGCACAUGCGCGCUCCUGCCCGAGGCACUGCACAAGCCGGAGGACGAAAGAAAUUACCUGAAAAAGUUGCAAUUUUCGUCGUGAUUUACACGAAAAUAGAUUGCACUACUUCAAUAAAGAGCCUUCAUCGAAUUUAUUUACCUCUGAUUAUCAAAAAUCAAGUUCAAACGAACAUUAUUAUACAUUUUUAUUUCGGCUGAAAAGAAAAAAAAACAAAAAAUUUCGGCCGGAUUCGAGCUCGGACAAAAUUGCUGAACGACCAGCAUAACAAACUGUCAAAAUGCAUUACUGAUAAAUCAGCAAGACAUAUUUUACUGGAUGGAUUGCUGGUUUUACAGCAUGUCAAAAACCAGCAAAAUUUUGCUGGUUUCCAGCGAAAUAAAAAUAGUGUGUAAGUUUUUGAAAUAAGUGGAGAAAUUUGACGUUAUUAUGGAUGACACGCUGACUGACCCGGAAAUUAUGAAAGAGGAGGACUAUGAUUCGGAACUUGAAAAGCUGAUUUCUGAAUGUUCCGUUAUUUUUUGCGAUUCUCAUUCGUAAGCACCUCAAAGGGUCCCAGCAGCUGCACCAACAAAAAUAAAAUAUCACAAAAUUCCCUGGAAGCAACGCCUGAUGACAACUUCCGUGACGACCGAGCUGCAGCACGACAUUCUGAGCCGCAACGAAAAAGGAAAAAUCGCCGUCAAAUAUUUCGGGUAGUACAACAAUUUCCUACACAGAUUGACAAAUAAAGGAAAACGUCUAAUCACUCUA
Molecule: long non-coding RNA, 2017 nt
Organism: Aedes albopictus (Asian tiger mosquito)
Lineage: Eukaryota; Metazoa; Arthropoda; Insecta; Diptera; Culicidae
Exons: 2
Source: RefSeq, a predicted model, not a curated record